This 1434-nucleotide ribosomal RNA is filed under the name Staphylococcus sp. TDWK3. RNAcentral's name for it is "bacterial SSU rRNA". It matches the Rfam family "Bacterial small subunit ribosomal RNA". The record is from RNAcentral. Lineage: Bacteria; Bacillati; Bacillota; Bacilli; Caryophanales; Staphylococcaceae.
UAAUGCAAGUCGAGCGAACAGAUAAGGAGCUUGCUCCUUUGACGUUAGCGGCGGACGGGUGAGAACACGUGGGUAACCUACCUAUAAGACUGGGAUAACUUCGGGAAACCGGAGCUAAUACCGGAUAACAUUUGGAACCGCAUGGUUCUAAAGUGAAAGAUGGUUUUGCUAUCACUUAUAGAUGGACCCGCGCCGUAUUAGCUAGUUGGUAAGGUAACGGCUUACCAAGGCGACGAUACGUAGCCGACCUGAGAGGGUGAUCGGCCACACUGGAACUGAGACACGGUCCAGACUCCUACGGGAGGCAGCAGUAGGGAAUCUUCCGCAAUGGGCGAAAGCCUGACGGAGCAACGCCGCGUGAGUGAUGAAGGGUUUCGGCUCGUAAAACUCUGUUAUUAGGGAAGAACAAACGUGUAAGUAACUGUGCACGUCUUGACGGUACCUAAUCAGAAAGCCACGGCUAACUACGUGCCAGCAGCCGCGGUAAUACGUAGGUGGCAAGCGUUAUCCGGAAUUAUUGGGCGUAAAGCGCGCGUAGGCGGUUUCUUAAGUCUGAUGUGAAAGCCCACGGCUCAACCGUGGAGGGUCAUUGGAAACUGGGAAACUUGAGUGCAGAAGAGGAAAGUGGAAUUCCAUGUGUAGCGGUGAAAUGCGCAGAGAUAUGGAGGAACACCAGUGGCGAAGGCGACUUUCUGGUCUGUAACUGACGCUGAUGUGCGAAAGCGUGGGGAUCAAACAGGAUUAGAUACCCUGGUAGUCCACGCCGUAAACGAUGAGUGCUAAGUGUUAGGGGGUUUCCGCCCCUUAGUGCUGCAGCUAACGCAUUAAGCACUCCGCCUGGGGAGUACGACCGCAAGGUUGAAACUCAAAGGAAUUGACGGGGACCCGCACAAGCGGUGGAGCAUGUGGUUUAAUUCGAAGCAACGCGAAGAACCUUACCAAAUCUUGACAUCCUUUGAAAACUCUAGAGAUAGAGCCUUCCCCUUCGGGGGACAAAGUGACAGGUGGUGCAUGGUUGUCGUCAGCUCGUGUCGUGAGAUGUUGGGUUAAGUCCCGCAACGAGCGCAACCCUUAAGCUUAGUUGCCAUCAUUAAGUUGGGCACUCUAGGUUGACUGCCGGUGACAAACCGGAGGAAGGUGGGGAUGACGUCAAAUCAUCAUGCCCCUUAUGAUUUGGGCUACACACGUGCUACAAUGGACAAUACAAAGGGCAGCUAAACCGCGAGGUCAUGCAAAUCCCAUAAAGUUGUUCUCAGUUCGGAUUGUAGUCUGCAACUCGACUACAUGAAGCUGGAAUCGCUAGUAAUCGUAGAUCAGCAUGCUACGGUGAAUACGUUCCCGGGUCUUGUACACACCGCCCGUCACACCACGAGAGUUUGUAACACCCGAAGCCGGUGGAGUAACCAUUUAUGGAGCUAGCCGUCGAAGGUGGGA